RNAcentral lists this ribosomal RNA (495 nucleotides) under Nicoletia phytophila. RNAcentral's name for it is "partial 16S ribosomal RNA". It matches the Rfam family "Bacterial large subunit ribosomal RNA", at positions 1819 to 2600 of the family's 2925-position model. Lineage: Eukaryota; Metazoa; Arthropoda; Insecta; Zygentoma; Nicoletiidae. The record is from RNAcentral.
GUCUUUUUGUAAAGUUGAAAGGUUUAACCUGCCCAAUGAGAUUUUAAUGGCCGCGGUAUUACUGACCGUGCAAAGGUAGCAUAAUCAUUAGUUCUUUAAAUGGGGGCUGGAAUGAAUGGUUGAACGAGGGAAAGGCUGUCUUUUAAUAAUGAUGUUGGAGUUUACUUUUUAGUGAGAAGGCUAAAAUUUUGCUGAGGGACGAUAAGACCCUAUARAUCUUUAUGUUUUAACUUAUGUAGAGUUAGAUGUGAGGAAAGAGCAUUCAGUUGGGGCGACUGAGAGAGAUAAAUAUCUCUUUUUUGAAGAUUUGCACUAAUAAGUGUGUGAGGAUCCAUGUGUAGUGAUUAUAAGAUAAAGUUACCUUAGGGAUAACAGCGUAAUCUAUCUUGAGAGUUCUAAUCGAGAGGUGGGUUUGCGACCUCGAUGUUGGAYUAAGAAGUUCUUUUUGGCGGAGAAGCUAAGAGGGAAGGUCUGUUCGACCUUUAAAUUCUUACA